GAGUUACUGGACAAUUACUGACGCUGAGGCUCGAAGGCCANGGGAGCAAAAGGGAUUAGAUACCCCUGUAGUCCUGGCAGUAAACGGUGCACGCUUGGUUUGAGGGGAAUCGACCCCCUUCGAGCCGGAGCUAACGCGUUAAGCGUGCCGCCUGGGAAGUACGGUCGCAAGACUAAAACUCAAAGAAAUUGACGGGGACCCGCACGAGCGGUGGAGUACGUGGCUUAAUUCGAUGCAACGCGAAGAACCUUACCUAGGCUUGACAUGCAUUUCUAAAUACGUGAAAGCGUAUGACUCUUCGGAGGACUUGCACAGGUGCUGCAUGGCCGUCGUCAGCUCGUGUCGUGAGAUGUUGGGUUAAGUCCCGCAACGAGCGCAACCCCUGUGAUUAGUUACCAGCGCGUGAUGGCGGGGACUCUAAUCAGACUGCCCAGAUCAACCGGGAGGAAGGUGGGGACGACGUCAGGUCAGUAUGGCCCUUACGCCUAGGGCUGCACACGUACUACAAUGCCCAGCACAAUGAGAACCGAGACCGCGAGGUGGAGGAAAUCUACAAAACUGGGCUCAGUUCGGAUUGGAGGCUGCAACUCGCCUCCAUGAAGCUGGAAUCGCUAGUAAUGGCACAUCAGCUACGGUGCCGUGAAUACGUUCCCGGGUCUUGUACACACCGCCCGUCACAUCAUGGAAGUCGGUCGCACCCGAAGUACACGCGCCAACCGCAAGGAAGCAGUGUCCUAAGGUGUAGCUGGUAACUGGGAUGAAGUCGUAACAAGGUAACCAAGGGCGAA
RNAcentral lists this ribosomal RNA (788 nucleotides) under uncultured bacterium. RNAcentral's name for it is "bacterial SSU rRNA". It matches the Rfam family "Bacterial small subunit ribosomal RNA", at positions 723 to 1510 of the family's 1533-position model. The record is from RNAcentral.